GACGAACGCUGGCGGCGUGCUUAACACAUGCAAGUCGAACGGAAAGGCCCUGCUUUUGUGGGGUGCUCGAGUGGCGAACGGGUGAGUAACACGUGAGUAACCUGCCCUUGACUUUGGGAUAACUUCAGGAAACUGGGGCUAAUACCGGAUAGGAGCUCCUGCUGCAUGGUGGGGGUUGGAAAGUUUCGGCGGGUGGGGAUGGACGCGCGGCUUAUCAGCUUGUUGGUGGGGUAGUGGCUUACCAAGGCUUUGACGGGUAGCCGGCCUGAGAGGGUGACCGGCCACAUUGGGACUGAGAUACGGCCCAGACUCCUACGGUAGGCAGCAGUGGGGAGUAUUGCACAAUGGGCGGAAGCCUGAUGCAGCAACGCCGCGUGCGGGAUGACGGCCUUCGGGUUGUAAACCGCUUUCGCCUGUGACGAAGCGUGAGUGACGGUAAUGGGUAAAGAAGCACCGGCUAACUACGUG
RNAcentral lists this ribosomal RNA (468 nucleotides) under uncultured bacterium. RNAcentral describes it as "partial 16S ribosomal RNA". It matches the Rfam family "Bacterial small subunit ribosomal RNA", at positions 28 to 507 of the family's 1533-position model. The record is from RNAcentral.